Molecule: microRNA precursor, 97 nt
Filed under: Taeniopygia guttata (zebra finch)
Lineage: Eukaryota; Metazoa; Chordata; Aves; Passeriformes; Estrildidae
Description: microRNA tgu-mir-2131 precursor
Rfam family: mir-2131 microRNA precursor family
Source: miRBase by way of RNAcentral
AUGCUCUUGUGGCUUCCAUGCAGAAGUGCACAGAAACAGCUAUUUGCAAUUAAGAAGUUGGCUGUUACUGUUUUUCUGAUGGAUGCUGUUGGAUUAU